This is a long non-coding RNA of Trichogramma pretiosum, 243 nucleotides long. RefSeq lists it as uncharacterized. The transcript has 3 exons. The record is from RefSeq and is a predicted model, not a curated record. Lineage: Eukaryota; Metazoa; Arthropoda; Insecta; Hymenoptera; Trichogrammatidae.
UUUCAAUUUAUUUUAUUAUUGCUAAAAUUAAUUAAUAUGAAAGAGAUACUUGAACCCGUUUGUUAAGGUUGAUUUUGAACUCUCUCUGACUUUUCUUUUGAGUUACAUUUUAGAGUUUUCAGUAAUUACUAAACAAGAUGUCGAAAAAAACGCAUUUUUAUAAUCCAAAAUCUGGGCUACCAAAAUCAACCAGACAUUAUUUAAAAAAAAAAGGCAUUUUAAAAUUGGAUUGCGAUGAUUCAA